UACGAAGGGGGCUAGCGUUGUUCGGAAUUACUGGGCGUAAAGCGCGCGUAGGCGGUGAUCUUUGUCAGAGGUGAAAGCCCGGGGCUCAACUCCGGAAUUGCCUUUGAAACGGGAUCGCUAGAGUCCGAGAGAGGAUGGCGGAAUUCCUAGUGUAGAGGUGAAAUUCGUAGAUAUUCGGAAGAACACCAGUGGCGAAGGCGGCUCACUGGACUGGUAUUGACGCUGAGGUGCGAAAGCGUGGGGAGCAAACAGG
Molecule: ribosomal RNA, 253 nt
Filed under: uncultured bacterium
Lineage: Bacteria
Description: partial 16S ribosomal RNA
Rfam family: Bacterial small subunit ribosomal RNA
Source: RNAcentral